Molecule: non-coding RNA, 240 nt
Filed under: Pediococcus stilesii
Lineage: Bacteria; Bacillati; Bacillota; Bacilli; Lactobacillales; Lactobacillaceae
Description: T-box sequence
Rfam family: T-box leader
About the family: Uncharged tRNA acts as the effector for transcription antitermination of genes in the T-box leader family. T-boxes are found upstream of many aminoacyl-tRNA synthetase genes and some amino acid biosynthetic genes usually in Gram-positive bacteria.
Source: RNAcentral
AGAAACGCGUUGAGAAAGUUAAGUAGUUAUUUCCAAUUCCAGAAAGCGAGCUUCGUUUGGUGAGAGGAAGCAGGUAAUGAUUUAACGAAAAUCCCUUUUGAGCGAUGUACCGAAAUUAAGUAACGUACAUUGGGCACACCCAUUACAGUGUUAGCGUAUCGCUUUUUAGCCGUACGUGAAAAGGUUUAUUUAGUGAUAAAUUAACAACAUUAAGGUGGUACCGUGCAAAGCACCCUUAAA